GCCCAGGUAGCUCAGUUGGUAGAGCAGAGGACUGAAAAUCCUCGUGUCGCUGGUUCGAUUCCGGCCCUGGGCA
This 73-nucleotide transfer RNA is filed under the name Lachnospiraceae bacterium G41. It matches the Rfam family "tRNA". From Rfam's summary of the family: Transfer RNA (tRNA) molecules are approximately 80 nucleotides in length. Their secondary structure includes four short double-helical elements and three loops (D, anti-codon, and T loops). The record is from Rfam by way of RNAcentral. RNAcentral also lists the same sequence under 4 other names. Lineage: Bacteria; Bacillati; Bacillota; Clostridia; Lachnospirales; Lachnospiraceae.